CUACGUGCCAGCAGCCGCGGUAAUACGGAAGGUCCAGGCGUUAUCCGGAUUUAUUGGGUUUAAAGGGAGUGUAGGCGGUCUGUUAAGCGUGUUGUGAAAUUUAGGUGCUCAACAUCUAACUUGCAGCGCGAACUGGCGGACUUGAGUGCACGCAACGUAUGCGGAAUUCAUGGUGUAGCGGUGAAAUGCUUAGAUAUCAUGACGAACUCCGAUUGCGAAGGCAGCGUACGGGAGUGUUACUGACGCUUAAGCUCGAAGGUGCGGGUAUCGAACAGAAUUAGAUACCCUGGUAGUCCGCACGGUAAACGAUGGAUGCCCGCUGUUAGCGCCUGGCGUUAGCGGCUAAGCGAAAGCAUUAAGCAUCCCACCUGGGGAGUACGCCGGCAACGGUGAAACUCAAAGGAAUUGACGGGGGCCCGCACAAGCGGAGGAACAUGUGGUUUAAUUCGAUGAUACGCGAGGAACCUUACCCGGGCUUGAAUUGCAGACGCAGGAUACAGAGAUGUUGA
RNAcentral lists this ribosomal RNA (509 nucleotides) under uncultured bacterium. Its description in RNAcentral is "bacterial SSU rRNA". It matches the Rfam family "Bacterial small subunit ribosomal RNA", at positions 501 to 1012 of the family's 1533-position model. The record is from RNAcentral.